ACUCCUACGGGAGGCAGCAGUAGGGAAUCUUCCACAAUGGGCGCAAGCCUGAUGGAGCAACACCGCGUGAGUGAAGAAGGGUUUCGGCUCGUAAAGCUCUGUUGUUAAAGAAGAACACGUAUGAGAGUAACUGUUCAUACGUUGACGGUAUUUAACCAGAAAGUCACGGCUAACUACGUGCCAGCAGCCGCGGUAAUACGUAGGUGGCAAGCGUUAUCCGGAUUUAUUGGGCGUAAAGAGAGUGCAGGCGGUUUUCUAAGUCUGAUGUGAAAGCCUUCGGCUUAACCGGAGAAGUGCGUCGGAAACUGGAUAACUUGAGUGCAGAAGAGGGUAGUGGAACUCCAUGUGUAGCGGUGGAAUGCGUAGAUAUAUGGAAGAACACCAGUGGCGAAGGCGGCUACCUGGUCUGCAACUGACGCUGAGACUCGAAAGCAUGGGUAGCGAACAGGAUUAGAUACCCUGGUAGGAUAGCG
RNAcentral lists this ribosomal RNA (473 nucleotides) under uncultured bacterium. RNAcentral's name for it is "bacterial SSU rRNA". It matches the Rfam family "Bacterial small subunit ribosomal RNA", at positions 335 to 801 of the family's 1533-position model. The record is from RNAcentral.